UUAUAAGAGACAGCAGCAGCCGCGGUAAUACAGAGGAUGCAAGCGUUAUCCGGAAUGAUUGGGCGUAAAGCGUCUGUAGGUGGCUUUUCAAGUCCGCCGUCAAAUCCCAGGGCUCAACCCUGGACAGGCGGUGGAAACUACCAAGCUGGAGUACGGUAGGGGCAGAGGGAACUUCCGGUGGAGCGGUGAAAUGCGUUGAGAUCGGAAAGAGCACCAACGGCGAAAGCACUCUGCUGGGCCGACACUGACACUGAGAGACGAAAGCUAGGGGAGCAAAUGGGAUUAGAUACCCCUGUAGUCCCUGUCUCUUAUAC
RNAcentral lists this ribosomal RNA (314 nucleotides) under uncultured bacterium. RNAcentral's name for it is "partial 16S ribosomal RNA". It matches the Rfam family "Bacterial small subunit ribosomal RNA", at positions 499 to 807 of the family's 1533-position model. The record is from RNAcentral.